RNAcentral lists this ribosomal RNA (3413 nucleotides) under Batillipes sp. SF-2015a. RNAcentral describes it as "eukaryotic LSU rRNA". It matches the Rfam family "Eukaryotic large subunit ribosomal RNA", at positions 98 to 2917 of the family's 3401-position model. Lineage: Eukaryota; Metazoa; Tardigrada; Heterotardigrada; Arthrotardigrada; Batillipedidae. The record is from RNAcentral.
CAGGAAUUAGCUCAGCGCUGAAUCUUAGGUCUAGAAAUAGGUUUAAGAAUUGUGGCGUGAAGUGGCUGGUUGCUGCAGCUGUCAAGGUGUGUAAGUUUCCUUAAACGGUUCCCAGCUCCAUAGAGGGUGAAAGGCCCGUUUCACACUAGGCAAGCGCUGUAGCAUACAGUUGCAGAGAGUCUGGUUGUUUGGAAACGCAACCUAAAGUCGGUGGUAUGUUUCAUCGAAAGCUAAAUAUCGCCGCGAGUCCGAUAGCGAACAAGUNCCGUGAGGGAAAAUUGAAAAGCACUUUGAAGAGAGAGUGAAACAGUGCGUGAAACCGCUCAGAGGUAAGCGGAUGGGCCCUNGAAGAUAAGCUAGAGAAUUCAGCUUGACUAAGGCACGAAACGGUUUUUUUUGCGCGAUCAGGUUUCUUGUAAACUGUGACGUGCAGGAGAGAUGCUGUCAUGCCGCGUUUGGUGUAUUUUCUUUAGCCAGACGUCAUCGCCUUUGCUUGAUAUGUGCGCCCGCAAGUCAUAGGGAACGCUCGUGGCAAGCCUCGUGCAUGUUUUCGAGACGCUUCUUACGGCAAUUGUGAGAGUAAAGCGGCACAUUGUAAAGGAGCAGGGUAUUAUCUGUUGCUAUGCGCUAGAAAUAGGAGCUUGUGUUGAAGCAGUGUUAUUGAGUCGUAAGGCUCGAUGGCGAUGCAUUUGGCGCAACUCUCUUGUUUUUCAAGCCUAACAGAGAAAAGCCCGAUGACGAGUAGAGACGGUCUCCCAUCCAUCCCGUCUUGAAACACGGACCAAGGAGUUCAGACUGCGCGCAAGUUGCAGGGUAAUAUUUACACCUGAAAGCGUAGUGAAAGCAAGAGGUUUAACUCGGUUAAGCCGUUUAGGCGGGAUCUUGGCUUGUUUUGCAGCUAUGUAAAAAAGGUCAGGCGCACCGCCGGCGCGCUCUAUUGCCACGUGCUUUGAGCGGAGCUUAAGCGUGCAAUUUGAGACCCGAAAGAUGGUGAACUAUGCCUGAGCAGGAUAAAGCCAGGGGAAACUCUGGUGGAAGUCCGUAGAGAUUCUGACGUGCAAAUCGAUCUUCUGACUUGGGUAUAGGGGCGAAAGACUAAUCGAACCGUCUAAUAGCUGGUUCCCUCCGAAGUUUCCCUCAGGAUAGCUGGCGCUCGUGUGUUUAAAACACGACAGUGUCUCCCGGUAAAGCGAAUGAUUAGAGGUCUUGGGGACGAAACGUUCUCAACCUAUUCUCAAACUUUAAAUGGGUGAGAAGUUCGGCUUACUUAGUUGAAGUCCGUACUUAAAUUUUCACGCAUGUCUGAGUGCCAAGUGGGCCAUUUUUGGUAAGCAGAACUGGCGCUGUGGGAUGAACCGAACGUCGAGUUAAGGCGCCCGAGUGUGACGCUCAUGAGACCCCACAAAAGGUGUUGGUUGCUAUAGACAGCAGGACGGUGGGCAUGGAAGUCGCAAUCCGCUAAGGAGUGUGUAACAACUCACCUGCCGAAGCAACUAGCCCUGAAAAUGGAUGGCGCUGUAGCGUUACGCCUAUACUCGACCGUUGCGGCACGCUGUAUUGUUUGUAGGCUUCGCGCCGCAAUGCGCGUGAUUCACGCCGCAACGAGUAGGAGGGUCGCGGCGGUAAGCGCUGAAGGCUUAGCGGCGUGAGCCGGGCCGGAGCUGCCGUCGGUGCAGAUCUUGGUGGUAGUAGCAAAUACUCAAGCGAGAAUCUUGAGGACUGAAGUGGAGAAGGGUUCCAUGUGAACAGCAGUUGAACAUGGGUCAGUCGAUCCUAAGGUAUCGGCGAAAGCCGUUCAGAAGCGGUGUUGGUUAUAUUGAUGCGUGUUCGCGCGUGUUGAUGAUUAAAGGCUUUAUGUUUUUAGUCGCCGCACUUGCCGAAAGGGAAUCGGGUUAAUAUUCCUGAACUAAGCAACGGAGAUUGCCCGUCUACGGUGCUUCAGCUCUUGUUAGUUGUUGUGUCCGAGGCGAUGCAAUGCGGUAACGCAAACAAGCUCAGAUACGCUGCCUUGUGACCUGGGAAGAGUUUUCUUUUCUUCAUAAAGGGCCGACUGCCUGGAAUCGGUUCAGCCGGAGAUAGGCAGGUGGCGCCUGAAAAGCAGCGCGAUUCUUGUGCUGUCCGGUGCUCGCAAGGCGGCCCGUGAAAAUCUGAGCGAGAGGUUAAUUUUCGUGCUUAAUCGUACCCAUAUCCGCAGCAGGUCUCCAAGGUGCGCAGCCUCUCGUCCACUAGAAGCAUGUAGGUAAGGGAAGUCGGCAAAAUGGAUCCGUAACUUCGGGAAAAGGAUUGGCUCUGAGGGCUGGGCCAAACGGGCUAGUGCUUGAAGCUAGCGUGGUUGUUUUGUGGGACUGUCAAUGCUUGCGGCGUAGUUUGUGUUUAAGCGUUCACGCGUUUAGGCGCUGCUACGUCGAUCACAGGCAAUGAUGGACCAUUAAACGGCCUGCUAGUGGAAGGCGCUAGCUGUGCAGCCGUGUGUUCUUGUGCUGCUUCACGGCGGUAUUUGAGUGUGCGGGUCCUGCUUCGUUUGGCGCUUAACAGCUAACUCAGAACUGGCACGGACCAGGGGAAUCCGACUGUCUAAUUAAAACAUAGCANNNNNNNNNNNNNNNNNNNNNNNNNNNNNNNNNNNNNNNNNNNNNNNNNNCAUGAAUGUCAAAGCGAAGAAAUUCGAACAAGCGCUGCUAAACGGCGGGAGUAACUAUGACUCUCUUAAGGUAGCCAAAUGCCUCGUCAUCUAAUUAGUGACGCGCAUGAAUGGAUCAACGAGAUUCCUACUGUCCCUAUCUACUGUCUAGCGAAACCACAGCCAAGGGAACGGGCUUGGAAGAAUCAGCGGGGAAAGAAGACCCUGUUGAGCUUGACUCUAGUCUGACACGGUGAGGAGACAUGAGAGGUGUAGAAUAGGCGGGAGGCCGUGCUUGACGCGUGCCGACAGUGAAAUACCGCUACUUUCAUCGUUUCUUUACUUAUUCGGUGAAGCGGAACUAGCAGCGUCGUUUUUCUUUGAAAAGCGUGCGUUUGUUUGGUUUUUGCGCCAAGUGUUGCAGCCUUUCUUCGGAAAGGUGCGAUGAGCAGUAAUUGCGGCAUAAUCCGUGCCGAAGACAGCGCCAGGCGGGGAGUUUGGCUGGGGCGGUACAUCUGUUAAACGGCAACGCAGGUGUCCUAAGGCGAGCUCAGAGGGGACAGAAACCUCUCGUAGAGUAAAAGGGCAAAAGCUCGCUUGACUGGGGCUUUCAGUAUGAGCACCUGCCGCGAAAGCGUGGCCUAUCGAUCCUCUUGUGGGUAAAACUUACCCCCAGAGGUACCAGAAAAGUUACCGCAGGGAUAACUGGCUUGUGGCGGCCAAGCGUCCAUAGCGACGUCGCUUUUUGAUCCUUCGAUGUCGGCUCUUCCUAUCAUUGCGAUGCAGCCGUCGC